CACAUGAACGACGUGUAUAAAAGUGAGGCAAAUGUGGAAGAAUACGAGCAAUAAUCCCCGAGAUAAGCUCAGGUUAGCGAGACAAGGAAGUCACCGAUGAUGAAGGUUUAGAAUCCCGUGAUAAGCGAAGUGAGGAAAUCACAGGAGAUGAUGGUGCUGAAUCUGUAAUAAUUGGAGAAGCAGGAGCAGUACGAGGAAUGGAAUAGGGCUCAACUAUAGUGAUAAGAAUGUCGGGAAAAGUGAGGUAACACAUCCUCCACUAAAAAGGUCGGGGAUGAUGGUCAUACGUAGCAGGGACGAGACUCACUAAAAGUCAUACCGUGAGAAAUAGUCACCCGAUGACCAACCUGAUCCCAACAACAAUAUCUCUUAUGCUCAUUGUUGUAUCCUAGGAACACUCAACAUACUAAGUAGUAAGUUUGGUACAUUGACGAGAGGCAGUAAGGGCACAUCAAACACAACCAAACAAUUGAAGCGCUGAAUAAUCUGGAAACGAUCAAAUAGACUCGGAAGGAGAUGACCAUGGUGGAAGUGGAGACGCAUUCAACCCAAAAGUGUGGCGUAAGAGAGGCAGUGACCAUCCAAAAGUGUGGCGGAAGAGAGAGCAGUGACAUUGAACCUAUGAGCCGUCUCAAUAGUUGACGAUGCUUGCCCUCAGCUAUGCCAUUUCUGAGCAUGAGCACCAGGAUAAGAGAACUGAGCAAGAGCACCCUGCUCAACAAGGAUUGAGCGCAACAUCUUGGAGAUUUAUUCUCCACCGAGUCAUCACAGUAUACAAGAAUAGGCGUAGAGAGAUACUAUGUUGGCAAACGGAAGCCACAUCGAAAAGUGUGGCAAAAGUGGUCAGCUGGGCCAUACAGGAGCAAAUGUCUCAUCGUAGUCAUGACUAUAUGUUCUCACCACUAGAUGAGCUUUGUAAAGCUCUAGAGAAACAUCAUAGCCUCACCCUUUGAUGUCAUCACAUGCUGCCAUUAUGGAUGAGAAAACGUCAUGAUAAGAAGUCGUCUUGCGAAGAGCACCACAAUAACUAACCAUAGCAGUCAAAAGGCAGUAGCAGGCGAGCUCGAAAGCCAUAGUUAGGCUGAUCUGGAGCUAUGUGUUGCCAACAGAAGAAUACAUAGUAAUCGAGGGAGUUGACUCAUUAGAAGAAUCCACAACACGCGAACAGUGAGUGUAGUAAAGUCAAGGAAGACGAGCAAAAGAAGGAACAUGAAAAGAGAAACUGCCAAGAGUGCCUCGACUAUCGACAGGUAGGGAAGUUACCAGGAUAGGAGAACUGAGCAAGAGCACCGUGCUCAACAAGGAUUGAAUGCAACAUCUUGGAGAUUUAUUCUCCACCGGAGUCAUCACGGAAUACAAGAAUAGGCGUAGGGAACUUGGUGUGUGCCAUGGCAUCAAAACGCUUACACAUAUAAGACCUCACUACGAAAGGAAAUAAAGUAUAUCCAGGUGUGUUGAGAGAAGUCAUCUAUAAAUAUAGUACUAGCGAUAACCUCCUUUCGAGGCGAAAGGAGGUGGGUCCCAGACAUCAAAGUGAACAAAGGUUGAAAGGGUUGUUGAGACACUGUCUCGCUAUGAGCAUAAGGUAAGUAUAGCUGUUUAACAAGCCGACAACCCGGACAGUUUGGAGACAUCAUCGGAGACUGAUCCAAGAAGACCAUGUCAAACUAAGGAUGCGAGAUGAGAGCCACACAAGUGACCCCAGGCGACGAUGGCACUUCUAAGCAUAACUGCUAGACAAGGUAACAGAGGUGGAGAGACUAGCGGCUGUAGCAGCAGAGUCACUUGAUCCAGCAUCCUACGUGCCUGUGCGCUCUCCGUUACCCGCCGAUCCGGCUUGGUGUGCUUCUCCUGUUUGCGGGUUGUGUGCCACGCACUUGAUUAAGCACCCCACGUUCUCCUACAGUGCGCCCUUGACCCUGGCUUUAGGUAGCGCCGUGUCCUCGGCUUGCCGUGCAUAAUCCAGGUAUGCGCCAACUGUCCGAGCUCCUGCUCACCAUCGGUGUUGCUCGAGCGUGGGUUCUGGUGUCGCCCAUAAAGGGAACACGGGAUGUGGGAUUGAGACAGUUCACAUAGCAACCCACAGCAAGGCAAAGGAUGCCCAUCCAACUGGCAGGGAGCGGAGGUGGACCCAAAAAGGUGGAUGUUGACUCCAAGGAGUCUCAACAGUACGCUUGUCAGUAAGAGGAGCAAGAAGAUCCUGGAUAUACUUCUCUUAGCAAAUAAAGAAGCCAUCAAAGGUAGACUCAGGGAAGUAGCGAUGAGGACCAAGGUCAGACAUAAGAAACUCACUGUGACGAGCAUUCACAAAGGCAAUGUACUUAAGAGUCGUGCAGGAUCAUGAGCACGCGUUGAAAAACGAGCCUUAUUAACCACAGAGACAACGCUCAAACCAGUCAUGAGGGGUUUGCUAAAGAGCAUAUAGAGAACGCCAAAGGCGACAAACCAUGCCGGCUGGAAAAGAAUACCCAAGUGGUGGCUACAUGUAGGAUUGUUGACAUCAAGCUGAGAGAGAGAGAGAGAGAUAGAUAGAUAGAGAGAGAGAGAGCCUAUGUUGGCAAACAGAAGCACAUCGAAAAGUGUUCCAAAAGUGGUCAUCUGGGCCAUACAGGAGCAAAUGUCUCAUCGUAGUCAUGACUAUGUUCUCACCACUAGACGUGGUUUGUAGAGCUCUAGAGUAACAUCAUAGUCUCACCCUUGUGGGCCUAGUUACAAGUAAUGAGACGAGCAAGAGGAGGAAGGGAAAUGAGAUUCCACCAGCCGGCGAGGUGAAGAGCAUUUGAUGCCAUCACAUGCUGCCAUUGUGGAUGAAAAAAAUGUCAUGAUAAGAAGUCUUCUUGUGAAGAGCACCGCAAUAACUAACCAUAGCAGUCAAUAGGCAGAAGCCGGCGAGCUCGAAAGCCAUAAGUAGGCUGAUCUGGAGCUAUGUGUUGCCAACAGAAGAAGACAUAGUAGUUGAGGGAGAUGACUCAUUAUAAGAAUCCACAACACGCGAACAAUGAGUGUAGUAAAGUCAAGGAAGAUGAGCCUAAGAAGGAACAUGCAAGACAAACUGCCAAGAGUACCUCGACUAUCGACUGGCAGGGAAGUUACAUUGACAGUAAAAACAUGAACAUGAGAAUCUAGAUGUGGAAUACGCAAGUGGUGGCUGCACGUAAAACCCCUGACAAAAUUCACCAUUAAAAAAGUCUUUGUUAACAUCAAGCCGAGACGGAGUGACGAAUAAAGGCCGCAACAAGAUGUGUGUGAACAAUUGUCGUAUGGCCCGCAUGAGCUGAAACUCUCAUCGUAAUUAGGACCAUGAUUCUACUAAAAGCCACGAGCCACAAGACGAGCUUUGUAAUGUUCAAGAGAACCAUCAGAGCGAGUCUUAACCUUGUUGACGCACCAAGUAAUGGGACGAACACGAGGAGGAAGGGACACAAUAUCCGAUGUGCUGAUGUGCUCAACAGUAGCAAUAUCCUCUACCAUGGCAAGGCGCCAUUUGGUAUGAAUAACAUCAAGAUAAGAAGUCUGCUCAAGAAAGUGGCGCCAACGUUUCAUAGCCUAAGGCGGUCCACAGGCAAAAGUGGACGAGGUCGCAAGCAAUAAGAAGGCCGAGACGGAGAAGAUGGCACAUCAGUAGAUGCAUCCACAACACAUGAACGACGUGUUUAAAAGUGAGGCAAAUGUGGAAGAAUACGAGCAAUAAUCCCCGAGAUAAGCUCAGGUUAUGGAGACAAGGAAGUCACCGGUGAUGAAGGUUUAGAAUCCCGUGAUAAGCGAAGUGAGGAAAUCAUAGGAGAUGAUGGUGCUGAAUCUGUAAUAAUUGGAGAAGCAGGAGCAGUACGAGGAAUGGAAUAGGGCUCAACGAUAGUGAUAAGAAUGUCGGGAAAAGUGAGGUAACACAUCCUCCACUAAAAAGGUCGGGGAUGAUGGUCACACGUAGCAGGGACGAGACUCACUAAAAGUCAUACCGUGAGAAAUAGUCACCCGAUGACCAACCUGAUCCCAACAACAAUAUCUCUUAUGCUCAUUGUUGUAUCCUAUGAACACUCAACAUACUAAGUAGUAAGUUUGGUACAUUGACGAGAGGCAGUAAGGGCACAUCAAACACAACCAAACAAUUGAAGCGCUGAAUAAUCUGGAAACGAUCAAAUAGACUCUUGAAAGGAGAUGACCAUGGUGGAAGUGGAGACGCAUUCAACCCAAAGGUGUGGCCUAAGAGAAGCAGUGACCAUCCAAAAGUGUGGCGGAAGAGAGAGCAGUGAAAUUGAACCUAUGAGCCGUCUCAAUAGUUGACGAUGCUUGCCCUCAGCCAUGCCAUUUCUGAGCAUGAGCACCAAGAUAAGAGAACUGAGCAAGAGCACCCUGCUCAACAAGGAUUGAGCGCAACAUCUUGGAGAUAUAUUCUCCAUCAAAGUCAUCACAGAAUACAAGAAUAGGCGGUGAGAGAUACUAUGUUGGCAAACAGAAGCCACAUCGAAAAGUGUGCCAAAAGUGGUCAUCUGGGCCAUACAGGAGCAAAUGUCUCAUCAUAGUCAUGGCUAUAUGUUCUCACCACUAGAUGAGCUUUGUAAAGCUCUAGAGAAACUUCAUAGUCUCACCCUUUCAUGUCAUCACAUGCUGCCAUUAUGGAUGAAAAAACGUCAUGAUAAGAAGUCGUCUUGCGAAGAGCACCACAAUAACUAACCAUAGCAGUCAAAAGGCAGUAGUAGGCGAGCUCGAAAGCCAUAAGUAGGCUGAUCUGGAGCUAUGUGUUGCCAACAGAAGAAUACAUAAUAAUCGAGGGAGUUGACUCAUUAGAAGAAUCCACAACACGGGAACUGUGAGUGUAGUAAAGUCAAGGAAGACGAGCAAAAGAAGGAACAUGAAAAGAGAAACUGCCAAGAGUGCAUCGACUAUCGACAGGUAGGGAAGUUACCAGGAUAAGAGAACUGAGCAAGAGCACCGUGCUCAACAAGGAUUCAAUGCAACAUCUUGGAGAUUUAUUCUCCACCAGAGUCAUCAUGGAAUACAAGAAUAGUCUUAGGGACCUUCCCCUGUGUGCCUUGGCAUCAAAACGCUUACACAUACAAGACCUCAGUACGAAAGGAAAUAAAGUAUAUCCAGGUGUGUUGAGAGAAGUCAUCUAUAAAUAUAGUAC
Molecule: long non-coding RNA, 5125 nt
Filed under: Hordeum vulgare
Lineage: Eukaryota; Viridiplantae; Streptophyta; Magnoliopsida; Poales; Poaceae
Description: long non-coding RNA (HVUL_LNC007059)
Source: RNAcentral